Molecule: small RNA, 555 nt
Filed under: Pongo abelii (Sumatran orangutan)
Lineage: Eukaryota; Metazoa; Chordata; Mammalia; Primates; Hominidae
Description: retained intron
Source: RNAcentral
ACAGUUGAGCCCAUGACCCAAUCAUGACCAUUUUCUUGCUGGUGGUUUGUUUAUGGAAGAGAUACUAUCACUAUCUGACCAAUGGAAUUCGCAAAGACAUGAUUGCCCCUGAAGAGGGUGAAGUGAUGGUUCGGAUUUCAAAGCUGAUUUCUAACACGCUGCUGACGAGUCCCUUCCUGGAGCCCCUGAUGGUGGUCCUUGUGCAGGAGAAGGAGAAUGACUAUUACUUUAGCCUCAUGAAAAGCAUCGUUGAUUACAUCCUCAUGGACCCAGUGGAGAGAAAACGGCUCUUUAUUGAGAGCAUCCCCCGCUUGUUUCCUCAAAGAGUGAUCCGGGCCCCUGUGCCCUGGCACAGUGUCUACAAGAGCGCCAAGAAGUGGAACGAGGAGCAUCUGCACACAGUGAACCCUAUGAUGCUGAGGCUGAAAGAACUGUGGUUUGCAGAGUAAGAAGUCCCUCCCUUUGUUUUUCAUUCCCUUUCUUUAUCGCAUCCACGUGUAAGCAAGCCUAUUCUGCUGUGCACAGUGGGGGUAGCCCUGACAGCACAGAGAAAUG